GUUUUGCGCUGGAAUGCCGCCUCGCCUUUUCCUGCCGCUGCGAACGAUUCGGACGGAACCCACCGGCGCGGAGAGGUGCUUUGGCACAGCGGGCAGAAUGAAUGACUCAGAGUUUGGGGGAAGCGGUCCAAAAGCGGAGCGGUGUGAAUCCGACGGGAUAUAAAGCACAGAGGCAAAGCCGUGCACGAAGGCUACGGAGGCACGCACGCACUGUAAAUACACCGCCGGUAUGUACACAGAACAGGGCAGCCCGACAGCAGCACGGUGCGCACAGGCAGACGCGAGCGCUGCUGUCGGACUGCGGUGUACACAUCUGCUCCUGGCCCAGCCGAGGCGUCCCCCGCGAAGAUCCAGCUAGGUCUGUGCAGCUCCUCAGUCAACUGAAACCACUCGUUCAAGACAGCAACAAUCCAGAUAUACUAGCAAGUCAUAAAACUGAACAAAAGCCGACAAACCUUAGAGCACCAUCGCUAUAUGGCCCAGACAAAUUACGACCGUCUAGGGGGAACCGUUGUGUGCUUAUCCCGUGUUACCAACGGUAACGCUAUUAAUCGACCAACAACAACAAAAAAUCACUAAUUCCACAUCUUUAAGCAAAACUACGUUACGUAAAUAUCUACAACCAGAAAGAGAGAGAGAAAUUCAGAGCUUGAAAGAGCGAAGCGGGCCCGGGAAAGGCUGCAGGAACCGAGGAGGCUCACACAUGGCCCUCAGCGUUAGCGUGGCUCUCUUCCGCUCCCCCCGCAGCCCCGAAGCAGCUAUUAAGAGUUUAAGGACAUACUGAGAACGUCUAAAAUCGUUAAUCCGUACAGGUGCGGAUGACUACAGCCUAGGAAAAUGAUACUGGCUCUUUAAACCAUCAAGAUGUGUUUAUAGGUUCAUCAAGAGAAAUUAAAGUUGGCUGUGAGCUCCCGAAUCCUA
This is a long non-coding RNA of Gallus gallus (chicken), 921 nucleotides long. RefSeq annotates it as HOXA10 antisense RNA. NCBI's taxonomy places the organism in Eukaryota, Metazoa, Chordata, Aves, Galliformes, Phasianidae. The transcript has 4 exons. The record is from RefSeq and is marked validated.